ACUCUAAGCGGUGGAUCACUCGGCUCAUGGGUCGAUGAAGAACGCAGCAAACUGUGCGUCAUCGUGUGAACUGCAGGACACAUGAACAUCGACAUUUUGAACGCAUAUCGCAGUCCAUGCUGUUAUGUACUUUAAUUAAUUUUAUAGUGCUGCUUGGACUACAUAUGGUUGAGGGUUGUAAGACUAUGCUAAUUAAGUUGCUUAUAAAUUUUUAUAAGCAUAUGGUAUAUUAUUGGAUAAAUAUAAUAAUUUUUAUUCAUAAUAUUAAAAAAUAAAUGAAAAACAUUAUCUCACAUUUGAAUGUGAAAAACGAAGAGAAAUAUUUUCUUUUUCAAUCAAAUAAUACUGAGAAAUGUCUAGCAUAAAAAAUUGAAAUAUUUUUCAUCUAGAAUUGUCUCUUAUUAAUGAUUCGGAAAUAGAAAAAUCUUGGUUAUGUUAUUAUUCUUCGUUGGUUCGUUAAAAAUGGAUAAAUAAAAACUUUGCAUACAAGAAUUAAUAAAAAUGUUAUAACGAAUUUAAUUAAAUGUUUUAUCAUUAUAUAUAAAGAAUUUAUGGCAAGAUAAAGUUAUAUACAACCUCAACUCAUAUGGGACUACCCCCUGAAUUUAAGCAUAUUAAUUAGGGGAGGAAAAGAAACUAACAAGGAUUUUCUUAGUAGCGGCGAGCGAAAAGAAAACAGUUCAGCACUAAGUCACUUUGUCUAUAUGGCAAAUGUGAGAUGCAGUGUAUGGAGCGUCAAUAUUCUAGUAUGAGAAAUUAACGAUUUAAGUCCUUCUUAAAUGAGGCCAUUUACCCAUAGAGGGUGCCAGGCCCGUAUAACGUUAAUGAUUACUAGAUGAUGUUUCCAAAGAGUCGUGUUGCUUGAUAGUGCAGCACUAAGUGGGUGGUAAACUCCAUCUAAAACUAAAUAUAACCAUGAGACCGAUAGUAAACAAGUACCGUGAGGGAAAGUUGAAAAGAACUCUGAAUAGAGAGUUAAACAGUACGUGAAACUGCUUAGAGGUUAAGCCCGAUGAACCUGAAUAUCCGUUAUGGAAAAUUCAUCAUUAAAAUUGUAAUAUUUAAAUAAUAUUAUGAGAAUAGUGUGCAUUUUUUCCAUAUAAGGACAUUGUAAUCUAUUAGCAUAUACCAAAUUUAUCAUAAAAUAUAACUUAUAGUUUAUUCCAAUUAAAUUGCUUGCAUUUUAACACAGAAUAAAUGUUAUUAAUUUGAUAAAGUGCUGAUAGAUUUAUAUGAUUACAGUGCGUUAAUUUUUCGGAAUUAUAUAAUGGCAUAAUUAUCAUUGAUUUUUGUGUUUAUUAUAUGCACUUGUAUGAUUAACAAUGCGAAAGAUUCAGGAUACCUUCGGGACCCGUCUUGAAACACGGACCAAGGAGUCUAACAUAUGUGCAAGUUAUUGGGAUAUAAACCUAAUAGCGUAAUUAACUUGACUAAUAAUGGGAUUAGUUUUUUAGCUAUUUAUAGCUAAUUAACACAAUCCCGGGGCGUUCUAUAUAGUUAUGUAUAAUGUAUAUUUAUAUUAUUUAUGCCUCUAACUGGAACGUACCUUGAGCAUAUAUGCUGUGACCCGAAAGAUGGUGAACUAUACUUGAUCAGGUUGAAGUCAGGGGAAACCCUGAUGGAAGACCGAAACAGUUCUGACGUGCAAAUCGAUUGUCAGAAUUGAGUAUAGGGGCGAAAGACCAAUCGAACCAUCUAGUAGCUGGUUCCUUCCGAAGUUUCCCUCAGGAUAGCUGGUGCAUUUUAAUAUUAUAUAAAAUAAUCUUAUCUGGUAAAGCGAAUGAUUAGAGGCCUUAGGGUCGAAACGAUCUUAACCUAUUCUCAAACUUUAAAUGGGUAAGAACCUUAACUUUCUUGAUAUGAAGUUCAAGGUUAUGAUAUAAUGUGCCCAGUGGGCCACUUUUGGUAAGCAGAACUGGCGCUGUGGGAUGAACCAAACGUAAUGUUACGGUGCCCAAAUUAACAACUCAUGCAGAUACCAUGAAAGGCGUUGGUUGCUUAAAACAGCAGGACGGUGAUCAUGGAAGUCGAAAUCCGCUAAGGAGUGUGUAACAACUCACCUGCCGAAGCAACUAGCCCUUAAAAUGGAUGGCGCUUAAGUUGUAUACCUAUACAUUACCGCUAAAGUAGAUGAUUUAUAUUACUUGUGAUAUAAAUUUUGAAACUUUAGUGAGUAGGAAGGUACAAUGGUAUGCGUAGAAGUGUUUGGCGUAAGCCUGCAUGGAGCUGCCAUUGGUACAGAUCUUGGUGUAGUAGCAAAUAAUCGAAUGAGACCUUGGAGGACUGAAGUGGAGAAGGGUUUCGUGUGAACAGUGGUUGAUCACGAGUUAGUCGGUCCUAAGUUCAAGGCGAAAGCCGAAAAUUUUCAAGUAAAACAAAAAUGCCUAACUAUAUAAACAAAGCGAAUUAUAAUACACUUGAAUAAUUUUGAACGAAAGGGAAUACGGUUCCAAUUCCGUAACCUGUUGAGUAUCCGUUUGUUAUUAAAUAUGGGCCUCGUGCUCAUCCUGGCAACAGGAACGACCAUAAAGAAGCCGUCGAGAGAUAUCGGAAGAGUUUUCUUUUCUGUUUUAUAGCCGUACUACCAUGGAAGUCUUUCGCAGAGAGAUAUGGUAGAUGGGCUAGAAGAGCAUGACAUAUACUGUUGUGUCGAUAUUUUCUCCUCGGACCUUGAAAAUUUAUGGUGGGGACACGCAAACUUCUCAACAGGCCGUACCAAUAUCCGCAGCUGGUCUCCAAGGUGAAGAGUCUCUAGUCGAUAGAAUAAUGUAGGUAAGGGAAGUCGGCAAAUUAGAUCCGUAACUUCGGGAUAAGGAUUGGCUCUGAAGAUUGAGAUAGUCGGGCUUGAUUGGGAAACAAUAACAUGGUUUAUGUGCUCGUUCUGGGUAAAUAGAGUUUCUAGCAUUUAUGUUAGUUACUUGUUCCCCGGAUAGUUUAGUUACGUAGCCAAUUGUGGAACUUUCUUGCUAAAAUUUUUAAGAAUACUAUUUGGGUUAAACCAAUUAGUUCUUAUUAAUUAUAACGAUUAUCAAUUAACAAUCAAUUCAGAACUGGCACGGACUUGGGGAAUCCGACUGUCUAAUUAAAACAAAGCAUUGUGAUGGCCCUAGCGGGUGUUGACACAAUGUGAUUUCUGCCCAGUGCUCUGAAUGUCAAAGUGAAGAAAUUCAAGUAAGCGCGGCGUCAACGGCGGGAGUAACUAUGACUCUCUUAAGGUAGCCAAAUGCCUCGUCAUCUAAUUAGUGACGCGAUGAAUGGAUUAACGAGUACUUAACAUUCCUACAUGUCCCUAUCUACUAUCUAGCGAAACCACAGCCAAGGGAACGGGCUUGGAAUAAUUAGCGGGGAAAGAAGACCCUUUUGAGCUUGACUCUAAUCUGGCAGUGUAAGGAGACAUAAGAGGUGUAGAAUAAGUGGGAGAUAUUAGACCUCGGUUUGGUAUCGUCAAUGAAAUACCACUACUCUUAUUGUUUCCUUACUUACUUGAUUAAAUGGAACGUGUAUCAUUUCCUAGCCAUUAUACGGAU
This 3527-nucleotide ribosomal RNA is filed under the name Drosophila melanogaster (fruit fly). RNAcentral's name for it is "eukaryotic LSU rRNA". The stretch from base 573 to 3527 matches the Rfam family "Eukaryotic large subunit ribosomal RNA", at positions 1 to 2554 of the family's 3401-position model. The record is from RNAcentral. Lineage: Eukaryota; Metazoa; Arthropoda; Insecta; Diptera; Drosophilidae.